CCGUGCUAGCCGGGGAGGUAGCGGUGCCCUGUACUUGCAACCCGCUGUAGCAAGGGUGAUGCUUCGUCUGAGGCAGAAAUUUGUAUAGUCUGCCCUUAAUAAGUGGCGAUGAGGAUUGGGUCUUACGCAAUAAGUACUUAUGAACCGUGUCAGGUCCGGAAGGAAGCAGCACUAAGUAAGAUCACUUAUGUGCCGUGAGGUUGCCUAGUCUGAGUUAACUGUUAAGGUAACGUAUAUGGCUUUUUGUCGAAGCGAAGUGCACGG
This is a non-coding RNA of 264 nucleotides. It matches the Rfam family "Bacterial large signal recognition particle RNA". From Rfam's summary of the family: The signal recognition particle (SRP) is a universally conserved ribonucleoprotein involved in the co-translational targeting of proteins to membranes. Archaeal SRP consists of a 7S RNA and homologues of the eukaryotic SRP19 and SRP54 proteins. In most bacteria, the SRP consists of a 4.5S RNA and the Ffh protein (a homologue of the eukaryotic SRP54 protein). The record is from Rfam.